RNAcentral lists this ribosomal RNA (466 nucleotides) under Vreelandella stevensii. Its description in RNAcentral is "partial 16S ribosomal RNA". It matches the Rfam family "Bacterial small subunit ribosomal RNA", at positions 338 to 795 of the family's 1533-position model. Lineage: Bacteria; Pseudomonadati; Pseudomonadota; Gammaproteobacteria; Oceanospirillales; Halomonadaceae. The record is from RNAcentral.
CCUACGGGCGGCUGCAGUGGGGAAUAUUGGACAAUGGGCGAAAGCCUGAUCCAGCCAUGCCGCGUGUGUGAAGAAGGCCUUCGGGUUGUAAAGCACUUUCAGUGGGGAAGAAAGCCUUGGGGCUAAUACCCUCGAGGAAGGACAUCACCCACAGAAGAAGCACCGGCUAACUCCGUGCCAGCAGCCGCGGUAAUACGGAGGGUGCGAGCGUUAAUCGGAAUUACUGGGCGUAAAGCGCGCGUAGGCGGUCUGAUAAGCCGGUUGUGAAAGCCCCGGGCUCAACCUGGGAACGGCAUCCGGAACUGUCAGGCUAGAGUGCAGGAGAGGAAGGUAGAAUUCCCGGUGUAGCGGUGAAAUGCGUAGAGAUCGGGAGGAAUACCAGUGGCGAAGGCGGCCUUCUGGACUGACACUGACGCUGAGGUGCGAAAGCGUGGGUAGCAAACAGGAUUAGAUACCCGAGUAAGUC